AGCGAAUGCUUUGGGGUGGGGUGACUGCGUACCUUUUGUAUAAUGGGUCAGCGACUUAUAUUCUGUAGCAAGGUUAACCGAAUAGGGGAGCCGGAGGGAAACCGAGUCUUAAUUGGGCGUUAAGUUGCAGGGUAUAGACCCGAAACCCGGUGAUCUAGCCAUGGGCAGGUUGAAGGUUGGGUAACACUAACUGGAGGACCGAACCGACUAAUGUUGAAAAAUUAGCGGAUGACCUGUGGCUGGGGGUGAAAGGCCAAUCAAACCGGGAGAUAGCUGGUUCUCCCCGAAAGCUAUUUAGGUAGCGCCUCGUGAAUUCAUCUCCGGGGGUAGAGCACUGUUUCGGCUAGGGGGCCAUCCCGGCUUACCAACCCGAUGCAAACUGCGAAUACCGGAGAAUGUUAUCACGGGAGACACACGGCGGGUGCUAACGUCCGUCGUGAAGAGGGAAACAACCCAGACCGCCAGCUAAGGUCCCAAAGUCAUGGUUAAGUGGGAAACGAUGUGGGAAGGCCCAGACAGCCAGGAUGUUGGCUUAGAAGCAGCCAUCAUUUAAAGAAAGCGUAAUAGCUCACUGGUCGAGUCGGCCUGCGCGGAAGAUGUAACGGGGCUAAACCAUGCACCGAAGCUGCGGCAGCGACACUGUGUGUUGUUGGGUAGGGGAGCGUUCUGUAAGCCUGUGAAGGUGUGUCGUGAGGCAUGCUGGAGGUAUCA
RNAcentral lists this ribosomal RNA (711 nucleotides) under Salmonella enterica. Its description in RNAcentral is "partial 23S ribosomal RNA". It matches the Rfam family "Bacterial large subunit ribosomal RNA", at positions 572 to 1284 of the family's 2925-position model. The record is from RNAcentral. Lineage: Bacteria; Pseudomonadati; Pseudomonadota; Gammaproteobacteria; Enterobacterales; Enterobacteriaceae.